UUAAGCGACUAAGCGUACACGGUGGAUGCCCUGGCAGUCAGAGGCGAUGAAGGACGUGCUAAUCUGCGAUAAGCGUCGGUAAGGUGAUAUGAACCGUUAUAACCGGCGAUUUCCGAAUGGGGAAACCCAGUGUGAUUUGUCACACUAUCAUUAACUGAAUCCAUAGGUUAAUGAGGCGAACCGGGGGAACUGAAACAUCUAAGUACCCCGAGGAAAAGAAAUCAACCGAGAUUCCCCCAGUAGCGGCGAGCGAACGGGGAGGAGCCCAGAGCCUGAAUCAGUGUGUGUGUUAGUGGAAGCGUCUGGAAAGGCGCGCGAUACAGGGUGACAGCCCCGUACACAAAAAUGCACAUGCUGUGAGCUCGAUGAGUAGGGCGGGACACGUGGUAUCCUGUCUGAAUAUGGGGGGACCAUCCUCCAAGGCUAAAUACUCCUGACUGACCGAUAGUGAACCAGUACCGUGAGGGAAAGGCGAAAAGAACCCCGGCGAGGGGAGUGAAAAAGAACCUGAAACCGUGUACGUACAAGCAGUGGGAGCACGCUUCGGCGUGUGACUGCGUACCUUUUGUAUAAUGGGUCAGCGACUUAUAUUCUGUAGCAAGGUUAACCGAAUAGGGGAGCCGAAGGGAAACCGAGUCUUAACUGGGCGUUAAGUUGCAGGGUAUAGACCCGAAACCCGGUGAUCUAGCCAUGGGCAGGUUGAAGGUUGGGUAACACUAACUGGAGGACCGAACCGACUAAUGUUGAAAAAUUAGCGGAUGACUUGUGGCUGGGGGUGAAAGGCCAAUCAAACCGGGAGAUAGCUGGUUCUCCCCGAAAGCUAUUUAGGUAGCGCCUCGUGAAUUCAUCUCCGGGGGUAGAGCACUGUUUCGGCAAGGGGGUCAUCCCGACUUACCAACCCGAUGCAAACUGCGAAUACCGGAGAAUGUUAUCACGGGAGACACACGGCGGGUGCUAACGUCCGUCGUGAAGAGGGAAACAACCCAGACCGCCAGCUAAGGUCCCAAAGUCAUGGUUAAGUGGGAAACGAUGUGGGAAGGCCCAGACAGCCAGGAUGUUGGCUUAGAAGCAGCCAUCAUUUAAAGAAAGCGUAAUAGCUCACUGGUCGAGUCGGCCUGCGCGGAAGAUGUAACGGGGCUAAACCAUGCACCGAAGCUGCGGCAGCGACACUAUGUGUUGUUGGGUAGGGGAGCGUUCUGUAAGCCUGUGAAGGUGUGCUGUGAGGUUUGCUGGAGGUAUCAGAAGUGCGAAUGCUGACAUAAGUAACGAUAAAGCGGGUGAAAAGCCCGCUCGCCGGAAGACCAAGGGUUCCUGUCCAACGUUAAUCGGGGCAGGGUGAGUCGACCCCUAAGGCGAGGCCGAAAGGCGUAGUCGAUGGGAAACAGGUUAAUAUUCCUGUACUUGGUGUUACUGCGAAGGGGGGACGGAGAAGGCUAUGUUGGCCGGGCGACGGUUGUCCCGGUUUAAGCGUGUAGGCUGGUUUUCCAGGCAAAUCCGGAAAAUCAAGGCUGAGGCGUGAUGACGAGGCACUACGGUGCUGAAGCAACAAAUGCCCUGCUUCCAGGAAAAGCCUCUAAGCAUCAGGUAACAUCAAAUCGUACCCCAAACCGACACAGGUGGUCAGGUAGAGAAUACCAAGGCGCUUGAGAGAACUCGGGUGAAGGAACUAGGCAAAAUGGUGCCGUAACUUCGGGAGAAGGCACGCUGAUAUGUAGGUGAAGCGACUUGCUCGUGGAGCUGAAAUCAGUCGAAGAUACCAGCUGGCUGCAACUGUUUAUUAAAAACACAGCACUGUGCAAACACGAAAGUGGACGUAUACGGUGUGACGCCUGCCCGGUGCCGGAAGGUUAAUUGAUGGGGUUAGCGGUAACGCGAAGCUCUUGAUCGAAGCCCCGGUAAACGGCGGCCGUAACUAUAACGGUCCUAAGGUAGCGAAAUUCCUUGUCGGGUAAGUUCCGACCUGCACGAAUGGCGUAAUGAUGGCCAGGCUGUCUCCACCCGAGACUCAGUGAAAUUGAACUCGCUGUGAAGAUGCAGUGUACCCGCGGCAAGACGGAAAGACCCCGUGAACCUUUACUAUAGCUUGACACUGAACAUUGAGCCUUGAUGUGUAGGAUAGGUGGGAGGCUUUGAAGUGUGGACGCCAGUCUGCAUGGAGCCGACCUUGAAAUACCACCCUUUAAUGUUUGAUGUUCUAACGUUGACCCGUGAUCCGGGUUGCGGACAGUGUCUGGUGGGUAGUUUGACUGGGGCGGUCUCCUCCUAAAGAGUAACGGAGGAGCACGAAGGUUGGCUAAUCCUGGUCGGACAUCAGGAGGUUAGUGCAAUGGCAUAAGCCAGCUU
Molecule: ribosomal RNA, 2343 nt
Filed under: Escherichia coli
Lineage: Bacteria; Pseudomonadati; Pseudomonadota; Gammaproteobacteria; Enterobacterales; Enterobacteriaceae
Description: bacterial LSU rRNA
Rfam family: Bacterial large subunit ribosomal RNA
Source: RNAcentral